GUUUUGUGGUGGGAAAGAUUUUUCGGUUGGGGAUGGGCUCGCGGCCUAUCAGCUUGUUGGUGAGGUAGUGGCUCACCAAGGCGUCGACGGGUAGCCGGCCUGAGAGGGUGACCGGCCACACUGGGACUGAGACACGGCCCAGACUCCUACGGGAGGCAGCAGUGGGGAAUAUUGCACAAUGGGCGGAAGCCUGAUGCAGCAACGCCGCGUGAGGGAUGACGGCCUUCGGGUUGUAAACCUCUUUUAGCAGGGAAGAAGCGUAAGUGACGGUACCUGCAGAAAAAGCGCCGGCUAACUACGUGCCAGCAGCCGCGGUAAUACGUAGGGCGCAAGCGUUAUCCGGAAUUAUUGGGCGUAAAGAGCUCGUAGGCGGUUUGUCGCGUCUGCUGUGAAAACCCGAGGCUCAACCUCGGGCCUGCAGUGGGUACGGGCAGACUAGAGUGCGGUAGGGGAGAUUGGAAUUCCUGGUGUAGCGGUGGAAUGCGCAGAUAUCAGGAGGAACACCGAUGGCGAAGGCAGAUCUCUGGGCCGUUACUGACGCUGAGGAGCGAAAGGGUGGGGAGCAAACAGGCUUAGAUACCCUGGUAGUCCACCCCGUAAACGUUGGGAACUAGUUGUGGGGGCCUUUCCACGGUCUCCGUGACGCAGCUAACGCAUUAAGUUCCCCGCCUGGGGAGUACGGCCGCAAGGCUAAAACUCAAAGGAAUUGACGGGGACCCGCACAAGCGGCGGAGCAUGCGGAUUAAUUCGAUGCAACGCGAAGAACCUUACCAAGGCUUGACAUACACCGGAAACGUCUGGAAACAGUCGCCCCUUUUUGGUCGGUGUACAGGUGGUGCAUGGUUGUCGUCAGCUCGUGUCGUGAGAUGUUGGGUUAAGUCCCGCAACGAGCGCAACCCUCGUUCUAUGUUGCCAGCACGUUAUGGUGGGAACUCAUGGGAUACUGCCGGGGUCAACUCGGAGGAAGGUGGGGAUGACGUCAAAUCAUCAUGCCCCUUAUGUCUUGGGCUUCACGCAUGCUACAAUGGCCGGUACAAAGGGUUGCAAUACCGUGAGGUGGAGCGAAUCCCAAAAAGCUGGUCCCAGUUCGGAUU
Molecule: ribosomal RNA, 1094 nt
Filed under: Microbacterium barkeri
Lineage: Bacteria; Bacillati; Actinomycetota; Actinomycetes; Micrococcales; Microbacteriaceae
Description: bacterial SSU rRNA
Rfam family: Bacterial small subunit ribosomal RNA
Source: RNAcentral